CCGGGUUCGGACGGUGCUGGGUUCGAACGGUGCUGGGUUCGAACUCGGAGCGUUGCAUUCGGACGGGCGGGGCUGGGUUCCGAUGGGGCUGGGUUCGGAAGGGGCUGGGUUGGGACGGUGUUGGGUUCGGGAGAUGCUGGGUUCCGAUGGUGCUGGGCUCGAUCCAGUGGUAUUACAUUCCGACGGGCGGGGCUGGGUUCGGAAGGUGCUGGGUUCCGACGGUGCUGGGCUCGAACCGGCUAUGCUGGGCUCGAUCCGGUGGUAUUGCAUUCCGACGGGCGGGGCUGGGUUCGGAAGGUUCUGGGUUGCGA
RNAcentral lists this long non-coding RNA (311 nucleotides) under Equus caballus (horse). RNAcentral's name for it is "lncRNA (ENSECAG00000055198.1)". Lineage: Eukaryota; Metazoa; Chordata; Mammalia; Perissodactyla; Equidae. The record is from RNAcentral.